Molecule: long non-coding RNA, 906 nt
Organism: Folsomia candida
Lineage: Eukaryota; Metazoa; Arthropoda; Collembola; Entomobryomorpha; Isotomidae
Exons: 4
Source: RefSeq, a predicted model, not a curated record
GUUCAUCUAGGUACAGGGAAAGUGUGAAAUGCUUAGUUAGCUAACCUAGCUAGCUAAGCUAGGUACAACCUAGGUAGCUUAGCUAGCUAGUUAGCUAGCUAGGCUAUGUAGCUCUGUUAGCUAACUAGGCUAGGUAGCUCUGCUAGCUAACUAGGCUAGGUAGCUCUGCUAGCUAGGCUAAUUAGCUGUGCUAGCAAGUUGACCUAGGUGGCUUUGUUAGCUAGCUAGGGGUAGCUAGCCAAGCAUUCCUCGCUUUUCUCGUACUUAGUUGAACCUAAUCAGCUCGCUUCGCUCUCUAGUUAUGAAAGAUACCCCAAUAUGAAAUAAGAUAUCACGUUUUCCCAAGGUAUCUCACGUUGACCACAUGGAUGGGUCCGGGUGAGGUGGAUUUGGGUGAGGGUGGAAUUAUAAAUGCCGACCGUUAACCAGUGUUACCAACCAGGAGGACCAUAUCAAUGCAUUUUUGUACUUUUUCCACUGAUAUCAGCUACUCAGCUUCUUCAUAUUUCUAAACUUUAAUUAUACUGUUUAGCUCUACCGGUCGCCACAUUUUACUGACAAUGGAGGCGCAAACCAUAAAUGGUGCCUGGCUCCCAAUCCUACACAUUUUCAAGCCCUAACAAUUUGUACCCGAUGGCAGGUGGGAACAUUAAAUAUACUGGAGUGUUCAACGAUGUCGGAGUCGAUCUAAACCUUAUCAUGCCUCAUAAUAAGAGUGAUCCGGCUCAAAGGUGGCAAUUUUUUAGAUGCCCGGAAUAAUAUGGAACCUUCAUAAACAUGUAACGCAAAAUUUACGAUUUGUAUAUCCCUCGUAACCGCUCUCACAUCCUUUUAACAUGUGGGACAAGUUACGUAUUUUAUGCACGUCCCCUGAGCUUAGUACUUACAAUGGAACCUUUUUUCAAG